Hippocampus zosterae (dwarf seahorse) is the source of this 5514-nucleotide long non-coding RNA. RefSeq lists it as uncharacterized. Lineage: Eukaryota; Metazoa; Chordata; Actinopteri; Syngnathiformes; Syngnathidae. The transcript is spliced from 2 exons. The record is from RefSeq and is a predicted model, not a curated record.
GGGGGGUGCUGGAGCCUAUCCCAGCCGUCUCCGGGCAGUAGGCGGGGGACACCCUGAAUCGGUUGCCAGCUAAUCGCAGGGCACACAGAGACGAACAACCAUCCACGCUCACACUCACACCUAGGGACAAUUUUAGAGCGGUGUUCAAUCAGCCUGCCAUGCAUGUUUUUUGGAAUGUGGGAGGAAACCGGAGUACCCGGAGAAAACCCACGCAGGCCCGGCGAGAACAUGCAAACUCCACACAGGGAGGCCGGAGCUGGAAUUGAACACACGACCUCUGCACUGUGAGGUCGACGUGCUAACCACUGGACAACCGGGCCGCCCCUUUCAUAACUUGUGCUGCUGUAAAUUGGGAAUUUCUCCAUUGUGAUAUAUAUAUUAUAUAGAUAUAUAUAUAUUUUUUAAUCGUAUCUUAUUACUACGGGGCAUGAGUCUAUCGAAGAGAGAUAAGGGGUGAAAAAAAUAUACAGCGAACAACUUUUGCAAUUUAAUUUCCAUCCAUCCAGACAGUUGCCAUCAAGCCUGGCAGCGGUUUCUCUCUCCUUGAGUCGACUUCAAAGCUAAUUACACACAAUUGCAAGGCGUGUCACUUUAAAUUGCUCCAUAAAGGGGAGUGAACCCCGCAUGCGGAUAAAACGCACGCCUUUGUACUCCAAGUUAAAAGGAAAGGGAAAAAAAUUCAUUAGCCAAUUAUCAAGAAGAAAGAAAAAAAAAAACUAACAAACAUGCUGUGUCAUUCCGACAAUUGAGAAAUGGCAUCAUGGAAGCAAAUGCGAGGCGAGAGAUGUGGCGUUGAGUGAAAUCGGGUAGGUCAGGUGCCAACAAACACAUGCCACCCAACCCCCCUCCCACAUACACACACACACACACACACGCACACUGAGUUUCGUGCUGGCCCAACAUCUGAGCCCAAAGUGGCCCAGAGUCGUAAACGCCUGCAUCCAUAACUUUGCUGACUAAUGACAUGAGCUGGAUGGUCCCGUGGUAGCCGGUCACAGAAUCGGCGUGAAACCACGCCCUCUUACCCCCAGCAAACAAUCAGUAUUUGCCACAAACGCCCAAACCGAGAAUAAACAGAUCACAAGUCAGUCAAAUCCAAAUUGUUCUGUGGACUCUGUGGAAAAUGACGUCAGCCGUUGUCACAUGGGUUGCCGUUCAAUCGCAAGGCACUUACGGAGACGGAGCAUCUGCACGGUUUGGGAAUUGAACUUACGCCGCUUUCCGCGAAAGUCAGACGAGAGAAUCACGAUAUAAAAUAUCGCCGGGCUCUCCAAAAGCGUCACCUUCAGGAAACCAAAGUAAUUGUAUAUUUGUUCAACCAAAACCGUUUUCCAGUCUUUCGAUUGGUCAAUAAUGAGUAGAAUUAACCCCAUCUGGACGUAGGAGGUGCCGCCCGACAGCGGCGGUAUAAUAAAGUUAGAUUUAUUUCGCACGCGGGGAAAAACACUCGUCUUAUGCACUGCUGUUUAAUUUUUUUAAAUUUUGCUUUGAAAGUGAUAAUGACAUUGGGUACCGGACCACUUAAUUUGGGUUGUUCAGGGAGAGUCAAAAGUUUGGUCGGAUUCAUUUCCGGUGCCUCCACCAAGGCUGCUCUUGACCACCGAUGGAGACAAAUUUUUAAGCAUAGCCGAAUACAAGAAGCGAGUUCUCUGAUAAAUUUCAAUCCGCACACAGUUGGAGAGGAAUUCGUUGAACUAUAUUUUGGCAGUUUUGCGGUGGAGGGGACCUGCACUGCAGAGGCGGCACCGGGGUUGCUUAGCACGGCACAUUAGCAACAACGCGACAGCCCAUAAAACACACCACCGGUUUUCUCGACUGCGUUGUGAGCUGCCUAAAUGCGGUCGCACCUCUCUGCUUAAAAUGAACUGGUGUGCGGUGGAGUACAUUAAUGUUCCAGUGUGGUCAAGAUAAUUCAUUAAAAAUUAAUUUAAUUAAUUAUUGGGUGGCGGCCCGGUAGUCCAGUGGUUAGCACGUCGGCUUCACAGUGCAGAGGUACCGGGUUCGAUUCCAGCUCCAGCCUCCCUGUGUGGAGUUUGCAUGUUCUCCCCGGGCCUGCGUGGGUUUUCUCCGGGUGCUCCGGUUUCCUCCCACAUUCCAAAAAUAUGCAUGGCAGGCUGAUUGAACACUCUAAAUUGUCCCUAGGUGUGAGUGUGAGCGUGGAUGGUUGUUUGUCUCUGUGUGCCCUGCGAUUGGCUGGCAACUUAUUCUGGGUGUCCCCCGCCUACUGCCCGGAGACAGCUGGGAUAGGCUCCAGCACCCCCCGUGACCCUAAGUGAGGAUCAAGCGGUUGGGAAGAUGAAUGAUGAAUGAAUAAUUAUUGGGUCCACAUUAUUGGGGGGUGGCCAAGGCUAUCCCAGGGGGUCCAACAAAACCAAAACUUGGAAACACGUUUUACACUUGGGUGACCUGUACGCACGAUCCAGGGCCGCGCAAAGUCCAUCCAAUGGAAAUGAAGCCAACGAAAAAGCCCCUAAGUGGCUGCUACAAGAUGCAAAGAGAAACUGGAUGUCUACGAUGAUCGGAGACCGCAGACCUAUAAUCCUCCAUUCAAACGAAAAUGCGCAUUCUUUGACAACAAGAGACCAAAAGGCAGCAGAGAAAAAAAAAAAAACAACAAGCGGGCGUGGGGGUCGUUGACAAAAGCCAAAAAUCAGCAAAGCAGCUCAACGAUGAGACGCAGAGCGAGAGGGUGCCCAGACAUGCAGACUAUCCGUCUCGUGGGAAUGUGGUAAAGACACACUAGUGGGCAAGAGCCCGGGUUCUGAAAUUAGAGAGUGGCGCUAAGAGAAGGGAGCCCGAGCCAAAGACCGUCUUGAGAGCUGCCAGGAUCUGCCAGGAGCUGCCUCCGCGACGCAUUGCCCCAGCGUGAUUUACUGCGAGGCCGCACUCCGGGCUGCACGCUAUCUAACGUUCGGCGGUGCGCCGCUCUCAUCGCGUGCGAUGGAGUACUGUGACCCCCACGCCCGACGUGAUAAAGGCCAGGUCUGCUCGACAUGGUCAGAAUGUCUGAUCCGGACGAGUGUGUGCCACAAAAACACAGUGUGGAUGUGUUUUAGGACGUGUCAAAAACCGGGAACGGCCACAAACAGAAAAACAACACACACUCGACGAAAUGCUGAAAGAACUUAGACAUUCGUCGCCUUUAAUUUAUUAAUAUCACUAUGACGGUGACGGGGGGGAUAUGGGGGCGGGUGUUGGGGGGGGGGGUUGUCUGUACAUGUUCCUUACGACUGGCUGGUUCAGCUGGGAUAGGCUCGAGUGUUUAUAUAUUUCGCUAUUUUAUAUAUGCCUUAAAAGGAAUUCAAGCCACAAAUGCACUUUGGAAGUUGUCAACUUGGCAACAAACGUUGAAAAGCGAGACCAUCGUAACGAUAUUCCAAGUCGUUGGGGUUGUGACUUUCGAGCCAGUAUGAUGCACUACUCCACUUAUUGUAUUACAAAGUCUGUGCAAUGUUACACAAAAUUCAAUAAACUAAAACUAACUGUUAAACUACUACUAACUAAAAUAAAGGAUUAAAAAAAAAACAACUUCAAAACAAACAACCGACUCUGAAAAACAACUCAAAACCAAAUGUAAAAAAAAAACAAAACUCAAAAUGAAAUCAGUAGACCUUUGGCAGAUUGUGUUUUUUUUUUCCCUCAAAAAUAUGCUUUCAAGAUUUUCCUGUCACUCCCAGUUGACGUCUACUGUCAAAACAAACAUUAAGCGAAGAGAAUCACAUGUUGCGUAAUUCGUCAGCUAGCUUAAUGCUAACAGCACAGAUGAGCUAACGAAUAGCAUCUACAGUACGUGGUCAUAUUUUAAGCAACUGACCAAAAACAGUGGAACAACACAUGUAGACAGACAGUGAAACAAUAGCAAAACUAUAUUAUACAUAUACAGUACCAUAUACUGUAUAUAUCGUUUUUUUAUCCUCUGUGAAAACCAACAACAUUGCUGUGAUUGAAAAAUUCAAUUACAGAAUUAAGAAAGUACUCAAAUUUGAGGUGUGGGCCUAGAAAUAGGAAAUAAGCGGCUGAGUCAACUGUACAGGAAAUGAGCAGAUGUAAACUGGGACAUCAUUUCUGCAAAGAAAAUCAGCAAAUCGUAUGGGCUCGAUUUUACUGCACAAUCAAAAUAUGAUGCCCGCCCUCAGAAAAUGGCAGGUGCAGUCAGGGAACACCGGGGUUUAUUGUGGUAUACGUAGAAGGAAUAAUCACGAUUUAAUUUCCCACCCCGAGGUACAAAGAACCAUUUGCUCUCCCUCUCUACGACGUUCAUGCUAACUUCACCAACAUUCAUUUAAAGCCUGACAAGCUGAACACCCCCACACCCGCCCCUCGCCCCCACCCUCUGGUUGAUGUGCGAACGAGGGUCCAGCUCCAUCGAGGACAAUGACCUCUGUUGUCCGCAUGGAAGCGGGACCGCGGCAAGAAACUCCCCUUCGCUGCCAGACUUGUGCAAAAAAAGCAGGGCAGCAAAAACAAAAGCCGAGCAGGAGCACGACAGGAAAACGCGGGAUUUCAAAAUCCGGACAAACAGGAGGAAGUGCAAGGUGGUUGCGCCGUGCGGCUCUGGAAGGCCAAGUCUAGACAUGCCGGGAAGGUUCUGUAUGUGCUUGUCUGCAGCGCGGGUCAGCGAGAGUACUGAUGCCGUGUUCCAGCAUUUCAGCGAAUACGUGUGUGUGUGUGUGUGUGUGUGUGUGUGUGUGUGCGUGUGUGUGUGUGUGUGUUUCCUUUGCCAAGUUUCCUCUCUUUGUUUAGAGCGGCCUGGUUAGUCUGGCUCCCCGCUGCGCAUGCUAUGGCCAAACACACACACACACACAUACACGUAUAUCGAUCAAAACACAUCACAACAACAGGCAGGAUGCUCACAUGGAAAAGAGACGCUGGGAAGAGGAGCCAAACGGGUAUGGUGGAAAAACAGGGGACAUCCAUUUGGGAAUAAAUCACAAAAAGGGGGAUGGCAGCGGAUUGGCAAGGGGCCAUGAAGCCCUUUGAGCUCAAACAAUCGGGGGCUGUGGCCUUCACGGCAAUGAUGGGGGAUUUGGGGGGGAGCAGAGGGGGGAGUUGACGCGGGCAUGCACCUGACGUGUCGUUGUCUCUGCAACGUUGAGUUGUUUUAUUCAAGAGUGGCAUAUUCUCACUUUUUCAUUCAUUCAUCUUCCCAGCCGCUUGAUCCUCACUAGGGUCGCGGGGGGUGCUGGAUCCUAUCCCAGCCGUCUCCGGGCAGUAGGCGGGGGACACCCUGGAUCAGUUGCCAGCCAAUCGCAGGGCACACAGAAACAAACAACCAUUCGCACUCACACUCACACCUAGGGACAAUUUUGAGUGUUCAAUCAGCCUGCCAUGCAUGUUUUUGGAAUGUGGGAGGAAACCGGAGCACCCGGAGAAAACCCACGCAGGCCCGGGGAAAACAUGCAAACUCCACACAGGGAGGCCGGAGCUGAAAUCGAACCCGGUACCUCUGCACUGUGAAGCCGACGUGCUAACCACUGGACUACCGGGCCGCCCUAUUCUCACUUUUUUUUUUUU